This 516-nucleotide ribosomal RNA is filed under the name Triticum aestivum (bread wheat). RNAcentral describes it as "partial small subunit ribosomal RNA". Lineage: Eukaryota; Viridiplantae; Streptophyta; Magnoliopsida; Poales; Poaceae. The record is from RNAcentral.
AUGGCGUCCAACUACAAGAUGAAGGGGUUCUUCAAGGGCUUCAAGAUCAUCUCCCAGAUCUUCGCGGCGAAGGAGCAGGAGAUGGUGAUCGGCCGGCCGACGGACGUGAAGCACGUCGCGCACAUCGGCUGGAGCAGCUCCACGCCGGGGACGCUCACGGGGAAUGCUUCUCCAAGCUGGAUGAAUGUCAUCGAGGGAUCAUCUGAUUUCUCGUCUCUGGGCUACUUCGCGCCGUCAGCGGGGACCUCCUGGACUUCUCAAGACUUCGAGCAGCAGCACCAACUCCCACGUGACAUGCUGCCUCUCAGGAUAGCUUCAGAGAUCACCGGGGAAGACGUGGCAGCAGCUCCGUGCCCUGAUGUUCCACGCCCGCCACCGAGAAAGACAAGGCGAAAGAGGAAAACAACGCUUGGCUCUCUAGUGAAUUCGACAAUGCCAAAUGAUUCAUCUGCAUCAGCCUCGACGGCAGCAACAGUUGUUGCCGAUGCCAUUGACACCAAUCGUGUGAUGCAGUGA